This 616-nucleotide ribosomal RNA is filed under the name Bacillus pumilus. Its description in RNAcentral is "bacterial SSU rRNA". It matches the Rfam family "Bacterial small subunit ribosomal RNA", at positions 546 to 1163 of the family's 1533-position model. Lineage: Bacteria; Bacillati; Bacillota; Bacilli; Caryophanales; Bacillaceae. The record is from RNAcentral.
CGGAAUUAUUGGGCGUAAGGGCUCGCAGGCGGUUUCUUAAGUCUGAUGUGAAAGCCCCCGGCUCAACCGGGGAGGGUCAUUGGAAACUGGGAAACUUGAGUGCAGAAGAGGAGAGUGGAAUUCCACGUGUAGCGGUGAAAUGCGUAGAGAUGUGGAGGAACACCAGUGGCGAAGGCGACUCUCUGGUCUGUAACUGACGCUGAGGAGCGAAAGCGUGGGGAGCGAACAGGAUUAGAUACCCUGGUAGUCCACGCCGUAAACGAUGAGUGCUAAGUGUUAGGGGGUUUCCGCCCCUUAGUGCUGCAGCUAACGCAUUAAGCACUCCGCCUGGGGAGUACGGUCGCAAGACUGAAACUCAAAGGAAUUGACGGGGGCCCGCACAAGCGGUGGAGCAUGUGGUUUAAUUCGAAGCAACGCGAAGAACCUUACCAGGUCUUGACAUCCUCUGACGACCCUAGAGAUAGGGCUUUCCCUUCGGGGACAGAGUGACAGGUGGUGCAUGGUUGUCGUCAGCUCGUGUCGUGAGAUGUUGGGUUAAGUCCCGCAACGAGCGCAACCCUUGAUCUUAGUUGCCAGCAUUCAGUUGGGCACUCUAAGGUGACUGCCGGUGACAAAC